RNAcentral lists this ribosomal RNA (244 nucleotides) under uncultured bacterium. RNAcentral describes it as "partial small subunit ribosomal RNA". It matches the Rfam family "Bacterial small subunit ribosomal RNA", at positions 26 to 285 of the family's 1533-position model. The record is from RNAcentral.
AGAAUCAACGCUGGCGGCGUGCCUAACACAUGCAAGUCGAACGAGAAAGUGGAGCAAUCCAUGAGUAAAGUGGCGCACGGGUGAGUAACACGUGACUAACCUACCCUUGAGUGGGGGAUAACCUAGGGAAACCUGGGCUAAUACCGCAUAAUACCUUCGGGUCAAAGGAGCAAUUCGCUUAAGGAGGGGUCGCGGCCGAUUAGUUAGUUGGCGGGGUAAUGGCCCACCAAGACUAUGAUCGGUA